UACGUAGGGUGCAAGCGUUGUCCGGAAUUAUUGGGCGUAAAGAGCUCGUAGGCGGUUUGUCGCGUCGAAUGUGAAAUCCCGGGGCUCAACCCCGGGCCUGCAUUCGAUACGGGCAGACUAGAGUUCGGUAGGGGAGUCUGGAAUUCCUGGUGUAGCGGUGAAAUGCGCAGAUAUCAGGAGGAACACCAAUAGCGAAGGCAGCUCGCUGGGACGUUACUGACACUGAGGCGCGAAAGCGUGGGGAGCGAACAGG
RNAcentral lists this ribosomal RNA (253 nucleotides) under uncultured bacterium. Its description in RNAcentral is "partial 16S ribosomal RNA". It matches the Rfam family "Bacterial small subunit ribosomal RNA", at positions 524 to 776 of the family's 1533-position model. The record is from RNAcentral.